AGUGGGGAAUAUUGCGCAAUGGGGGAAACCCUGACGCAGCAAUACCGCGUGAAUGAAGAAGGUCUUCGGAUCGUAAAGUUCUGUCGAAGGGGAAGAAAUAAAUGACGGUACCCUUAGAGGAAGCCCCGGCUAACUACGUGCCAGCAGCCGCGGUAAUACGUAGGGGGCAAGCGUUGUCCGGAUUUACUGGGCGUAAAGGGCGUGUAGGCGGUUUUUUAAGUCAGAUGUGAAAGUUCGGGGCUCAACCCCGGAAUUGCAUUUGAAACUGGAGAACUUGAGUACUGGAGAGGUAAGUGGAAUUCCUAGUGUAGCGGUGAAAUGCGUAGAUAUUAGGAGGAACACCAGUGGCGAAGGCGACUUACUGGACAGAUACUGACGCUGAGGCGCGAAAGCGUGGGGAGCGAACAGGAUUAGAUACCCUGGUAGUCCACGCCGUAAACGAUGAGUGCUAGGUGUUGGGACAACUCAGUGCCGUAGUUAACACAAUAAGCACUCCGCCUGGGGAGUACGAUCGCAAGAUUG
RNAcentral lists this ribosomal RNA (522 nucleotides) under uncultured bacterium. RNAcentral describes it as "bacterial SSU rRNA". It matches the Rfam family "Bacterial small subunit ribosomal RNA", at positions 353 to 896 of the family's 1533-position model. The record is from RNAcentral.